GUUGAGGGAGAGGUUGUUGUCCUGGCACCACAUUGCCAGUUGCCUUACCUCCUCGUCGUACUACAACCGUGGUAUCAUAAGCAAACUUGAUGAUGGAGUUGGUGUCGUGCAAAGCCACACAGUCAUGGGUGAACAGGGAGUACAGCAGAGGGCUGAGGACACAACCAUGGGGGGCUCCUGGGUUAAGAGUCAGUGUGGGGUGUCGGAAGAACAACAAACCAAAUAACUUAUUUGGCAUGGAGGACUGUGUUAUGGUCACCCAAAGGUCAUCAGAUCCAUUGAUGAGCUGGAACAAUGUAGGGAGCAUUAUGAAAACCAACUGGGUCUGUGAGAACCAGACGCACAAUCAACUGGGUCUGUGAGAACCAGACGCACAAUCAACUGGGUCUGUGAGAACCAGAUGCACAAUCAACUGGGUCUGUGAGAACCAGACGCACAAUCAACUGGGUCUGUGAGAACCAGAUGCACAAUCAACUGGGUCUGUGAGAACCAGACGCACAAUCAACUGGGUCUGUGAGAACCAGACGCACACAAUCAACUGGGUCUGUGAGAACCAGACGCACAAUCAACUGGGUCUGUGAGAACCAGACGCACAAUCAACUGGGUCUGUGAGAACCAGAUGCACAAUCAACUGGGUCUGUGAGAACCAGACGCACAAUCAACUGGGUCUGUGAGAACCAGACGCACACAAUCAACUGAGUCUGUGAGAACCAGACGCACAAUCAACUGGGUCUGUGAGAACCAAACACACAAUCAACUGGGUCUGUGAGAACCAGACGCACAAUCAACUGGGUCUGUGAGAACCAGACGCACAAUCAACUGGGUCUGUGAGAACCAGACGCACAAUCAACUGGGUCUGUGAGAACCAGACGCACAUCCAUGUUGAACACUAGUUGUAAUGGUUAUGGCUCCAUGGUUAAAGAAAGAGAUGUCUGGGAUUAUCCAACUGACAGGGUCUCUUUCAUGUUUGAAUCCCAGAUUGCACCUUUAUUAAGACUAUCUGGUGGAGUUGUGUUGGAUAUCCAUGUGAGGUUUUAAGCUGUUUUAGUUUUUAUUUGACAACAUUAUAUCAGAAAUGAACAUUAUAUCAGAAAUUAUUAUGGACUCCAGUGCACUAAAUAUACAGUAGAACUGAUCAGGUGUUAUAUUAGUAGUGAAGUAUACAUACAUACCAUUGUGUUUAUUUAACUAAGCAAGUCCGUUAAGAACAAAUUCUUAUUUACAAUGACGGUCUAGGUAACAGUGGGAUAACUGCCUUGUUCAGGGGCAGAAGGACAGAUGUUUACCUUGUCAGCUCAGAGAUUCAAUCCAGCAACUUUUCAGUUAUUGGCCCAAUGCUCUAACCACUAGGCUACAUGCCGCCCCAUUUAAUGUGUAUGUUGGGGCCUAGUCCCUCAUCCAGCGACUGUCAACACAACACCUCAGUCGUUACACCAAGAGAUAUGAAACCCUUGACAAGGUUGCUAGGUGUUGGGUUAAGGUCACUACAGUAUAAACUCAGUAUAGACCAGGUUAUGAGGUUGCUAGGUGUUGGGUUAAGGUCACUACAGUAUAAACUCAGUAUAGACCAGGUUAUGAGGUUGCUAGGUGUUGGGUUAAGGUCACUACAGUAUUAACUCAGUAUAAACCAGGUUAUGAAGUUGCUAGGUGUUGGGUUAAGGUCACUACAGUAUAAACUCAGUAUAAACCAGGUUAUGAGGUUGCUAGGUGUUGGGUUAAGGUCACUACAGUAUUAACUCAGUAUAGACCAGGUUAUGAGGUUGCUAGGUGUUGGGUUAAGGUCACUACAGUAUAAACUCAGUAUAGACCAGGUUAUGAGGUUGCUAGGUGUUGGGUUAAGGUCACUACAGUAUUAACUCAGUAUAAACCAGGUUAUGAGGUUGCUAGGUGUUGGGUUAAGGUCACUACAGUAUAAACUAGGUUAUGGG
This 1928-nucleotide long non-coding RNA is filed under the name Salmo salar (Atlantic salmon). Its description in RNAcentral is "lncRNA (ENSSSAG00000089710.1)". Lineage: Eukaryota; Metazoa; Chordata; Actinopteri; Salmoniformes; Salmonidae. The record is from RNAcentral.